GUAGGCGGGUAGUUAAGUCAGAAGUGAAAUCCAAUAGCUCAACUAUUGAACUGCUUUUGAAACUGAUUACCUAGAAUAUGGGAGAGGUAGAUGGAAUUUCUGGUGUAGGGGUAAAAUCCGUAGAGAUCAGAAGGAAUACCGAUUGCGAAGGCGAUCUACUGGAACAUUAUUGACGCUGAGACGCGAAAGCGUGGGGAGCAAACAGGAUUAGAUACCCUGGUAGUCCACGCCCUAAACGAUGCACACUAGUUGUUGCGAUGCUAGUCAUUGCAGUAAUGCACUUAACAGAUUAAGUGUGCCGCCUGGGGAGUACGGUCGCAAGAUUAAAACUCAAAGGAAUAGACGGGGACCCGCACAAGCGGUGGAGCAUGUGGUUUAAUUCGAAGACACACGAAGAACCUUACCUGGGCUUGAUAUCCUAAGAAUCCUGUAGAGAUAUGGGAGUGCUAGUUUACUAGGACUUAGAGACAGGUGCUGCACGGCUGUCGUCAGCUCGUGUCGUGAGAUGUUGGGUUAAGUCCCGCAACGAGCGCAACCCUCGUGAUUAGUUGCUAACAGUUCGGCUGAGCACUCUAAUCAGACUGCCUUCGCAAGGAGGAGGAAGGUGAGGACGACGUCAAGUCAUCAUGGCCCUUAUGCCCAGGGCUACACACGUGCUACAAUGGCUAGGACAAAGAGAAGCGAUACUGCGAAGUGGAGCAAAUCUUAAAACCUAGUCUCAGUUCGGAUUGGAGUCUGCAACUCGACUCCAUGAAGCUGGAAUC
Molecule: ribosomal RNA, 764 nt
Filed under: uncultured Sulfurospirillum sp.
Lineage: Bacteria; Pseudomonadati; Campylobacterota; Epsilonproteobacteria; Campylobacterales; Sulfurospirillaceae
Description: bacterial SSU rRNA
Rfam family: Bacterial small subunit ribosomal RNA
Source: RNAcentral